Molecule: ribosomal RNA, 494 nt
Filed under: uncultured bacterium
Lineage: Bacteria
Description: bacterial SSU rRNA
Rfam family: Bacterial small subunit ribosomal RNA
Source: RNAcentral
CGAACGCUGGCGGCGUGCCUAAUACAUGCAAGUCGAGCGGACUGAAUGGAAGCUUGCUUCCGUUCGGUUAGCGGCGGACGGGUGAGUAACACGUGGGCAACCUGCCCGUAAGACCGGGAUAACUUCGGGAAACCGGAGCUAAUACCGGAUAACACCGAAGAUCGCAUGAUCUUUGGUUGAAAGGCGGCUUUGGCUGUCACUUACGGAUGGGCCCGCGGCGCAUUAGCUAGUUGGUGAGGUAACGGCUCACCAAGGCGACGAUGCGUAGCCGACCUGAGAGGGUGAUCGGCCACACUGGGACUGAGACACGGCCCAGACUCCUACGGGAGGCAGCAGUAGGGAAUCUUCCGCAAUGGACGAAAGUCUGACGGAGCAACGCCGCGUGAGCGAAGAAGGUCUUCGGAUUGUAAAGCUCUGUUGUUAGGGAAGAACAAGUACCGUUCGAAGAGGGCGGUACCGUGACGGUACCUAACGAGAAAGCCACGGCUAACUAC